GUAACUCAAACGUCAUACAUCACAAACCACAUCAGGGCAUCAUAUGAAAAUACCCCUGGGUUUCCGAGGGUUGACUACUUCCUACGUCAGUACGGGACUACUGUGUUGAACUAAUCUGGCGCGGUUACCCAUGCCCAAGUUGAAACAAAAUGGCGGACGAAACGGGAUGUUGAAAUGUGGUUCACUUUUUCUUAGCAGCGCUUAUCAACCCCCUAAAUUGGGAAAAGAUCGAUGGUAUAUGAUAAACAUAUCCUCAGUGCUCUUGCCAGUGAAAACAGCUGCCGUUCCCCUACACUCAAAUUAACCCCACCCUCUUCAAUGCGAUGUUCGAGGUCAUAGCCCCACUUGUCCAUCACUGGCGAGAGGUUGACGUCGCUUAGAGCGCUCCAGAUCUCGUCGUCCGUGUACAUGUCGAGCGGGUCAAGAUUACUCCUGAUAGUUCCACUCAGCAACGUCGGGUUUUGCUGAAUCACGGAGACAACCUGUCUUGUAGACUGCAGGUUGAGCCCGCGUAUAUCAACAUCAUCUAUGUGUAUCCCGGAUGAGGCCUCGGGCAUGCGCAUUAGCGAGGCCACAAUAGAUGACUUGCCGGCCCCAGUCCUUCCAGCGAUGCCGAUUUUUUGCUGAGGCUCAAUGCUGAACGUCACGCCCUUCAGGACUUGGGGUCCAUCGCUGUAGUAUCGGAGAGACACGUAACUGAAUGACACCGCUCCAUGUCGAGGCCAGCCACAUGGUGGUGUUUUUGUGAUCUGAUAGGCCGGUUCCGGGCUGAGCCUGCAGUACUCCAUUACCCGCUGGACUGAUGUCAUUGCGUCUUGAAGGAAGCCAGCGGACUGUAUAACAAACGCGGUAUCUAUCACGAGCAUCAUGGAAUAAGUGAUGGCCAAUCCAAUAAAACCUGUCAAUAAUGAAUAGUAUGAAUGCGUGUUCUUAUAGGAUCAGUGGCGGCGGCAGAAGGGGCGCAUAUUUAUGGCGAACGAGCUUUAACCUUUUAACACUAAAAAUAUUAUUCUUCGGGAGAAAAAUGUGUCCCAGGUAGAUAGUAAAUUGCAAAAUAUGUCCAAAUAGAUGAAAAACCAAACGAUGAAGUAAAUAUUGCUUGGAAUUUCAA
Long non-coding RNA from Nematostella vectensis (starlet sea anemone), 1111 nucleotides. RefSeq lists it as uncharacterized. The transcript is spliced from 2 exons. The record is from RefSeq and is a predicted model, not a curated record. Lineage: Eukaryota; Metazoa; Cnidaria; Anthozoa; Actiniaria; Edwardsiidae.